GUUCACAUUAACGUGGAGAGAAAUAUACAACUUGCAAGUCGAGAAAGCAGUUUUUACUCAUAAAAUCCUUUGAUAGUUUAGCCAUCUGGUCAGAGUGAAGCUUCGCAUAAAGGAGGCCCAAGGAAGGUUAAAGGGCGCACUCUCUCAGGGUCAAGGGGGCCUACCGGGGUUUGCUCUGGGGGACGCCCCCUGAAAGGACGCCUGACAAAUUAUUGCGCAUUCCACAGCCUUUUGCGUAAGUAUUUGAUUACAGUGGGCGGGAAUGCUGUUGAUAUUUUCAAACCCGAGUCAGGGAGCGGGGGAGGAGGCGGCCUGCCCUGGACGGCUCUCUGGACGCAGUGCUCCCUGCCCAUGACCGCUCUUCGGACGUGGUGCUCCCUGCCCAUGGGCGCCCCGUCCUCGCCCUUUGCCGAGCCCUGCGCGGUGUCCCAGCCUUCAGAAGCCUUCUGGCUUGGCAAUGGGGUGAGGGAUUUUCAUCCCCUGUGGGGAGAAAAAAGGAGCCUGCUGCGUUACCCUGAAUGGCCAGGAAAGCCCCACUAGGAUUUUUCUCGAUGUUCAGCAAUAAAGUAGGAAAGGAAAUGGUAAUCCUUGGAGCUCUGUGCUCUUUCGGGUGUGAAUGUCAACAGAACGAAACGUAUUUAUGGCUUUAUUUCUCAGGCGGGGCAGGGGGGUGUGUGUGUGGGGUGUGUGUGUGUGUGUGUGUGUGUGUGUGUGUCAGAGACGGAAAGGAAUUUGAGGUGAUUAAGUGUCAUUUUCUCUAGAGGCCUGGACAGUAGCAGAGGACACGGCUGGAUUUUCUGGGGUCAUGGAUGGCACGGGGGCAGUGGGUGAAGAGCGGGUGUCUGCACAGCUCCAGGGUUCCCGGAAAGUGCCAGCAAGGCCCUCGCUGCACUGGAGACGAGAAGAAUGAAGACAGUAUCUACGAACACACUUCUUGUUUUUCUUCAGCUUCCGGGCCCGGGGGAAGGAACAGGUGCAGGCAGACGCAGCGGUCAGCCCCGGACGAGGCAAGGCUGUGAGCAGGCCCGGAGUUCCCGCAGACGGAGGAAGGGCUGUGGGAUCCGGGUGGUGGGAACCCCACUCUCCAAGUGUCCCCGGGAGGGACCAGAAAGUCCCUUGGGCCUUGUAAUAUCUUUUAUUGUGUUAUAAUACAUGUAAUGUAAAGCUUACCAUUUUAACUAUUAAAAAAAAUGUUUUAAUGUUUAUUUUAUUUUUGAAAGUCAGAGAGACUCAGCAUCAGCAGAGGAGGGGCAGAGAGAGAGGGAGACAUAGAAUCGGAAGCACGGUCCGGGCUCUGAGCUGUCCGCACGGAACCUGACGCAGGGCUCGAACUGAUGAACUGUAAGAUCAUGACCUGAGCACAAGUCAGACGCUUAACUGACUGAGCCAGCGA
RNAcentral lists this long non-coding RNA (1393 nucleotides) under Suricata suricatta (meerkat). RNAcentral's name for it is "lncRNA (ENSSSUG00005015190.1)". The record is from RNAcentral. Lineage: Eukaryota; Metazoa; Chordata; Mammalia; Carnivora; Herpestidae.